AGAGUUUGAUCCUGGCUCAGGAUGAACGCUGGCGGCGUGCUUAACACAUGCAAGUCGAACGAUGAUCCCAGCUUGCUGGGGGAUUAGUGGCGAACGGGUGAGUAACACGUGAGUAACCUGCCCUUAACUCUGGGAUAAGCCUGGGAAACUGGGUCUAAUACCGGAUAUGACUCCUCAUCGCAUGGUGGGGGGUGGAAAGCUUUAUUGUGGUUUUGGAUGGACUCGCGGCCUAUCAGCUUGUUGGUCAGGUAAUGGCUCACCAAGGCGACGACGGGUAGCCGGCCUGAGAGGGUGACCGGCCACACUGGGACUGAGACACGGCCCAGACUCCUACGGGAGGCAGCAGUGGGGAAUAUUGCACAAUGGGCGAAAGCCUGAUGCAGCGACGCCGCGUGAGGGAUGACGGCCUUCGGGUUGUAAACCUCUUUCAGUAGGGAAGAAGCGAAAGUGACGGUACCUGCAGAAGAAGCGCCGGCUAACUACGUGCCAGCAGCCGCGGUAAUACGUAGGGCGCAAGCGUUAUCCGGAAUUAUUGGGCGUAAAGAGCUCGUAGGCGGUUUGUCGCGUCUGCCGUGAAAGUCCGGGGCUCAACUCCGGAUCUGCGGUGGGUACGGGCAGACUAGAGUGAUGUAGGGGAGACUGGAAUUCCUGGUGUAGCGGUGAAAUGCGCAGAUAUCAGGAGGAACACCGAUGGCGAAGGCAGGUCUCUGGGCAUUAACUGACGCUGAGGAGCGAAAGCAUGGGGAGCGAACAGGAUUAGAUACCCCGGUAGUCC
This 775-nucleotide ribosomal RNA is filed under the name uncultured Arthrobacter sp. RNAcentral's name for it is "bacterial SSU rRNA". It matches the Rfam family "Bacterial small subunit ribosomal RNA", at positions 8 to 796 of the family's 1533-position model. The record is from RNAcentral. Lineage: Bacteria; Bacillati; Actinomycetota; Actinomycetes; Micrococcales; Micrococcaceae.